GUUAGGCUUGUAUUUAUUAGAUAACAGACCAAUUAAGUGGUGACUCAUAGUAACUGAUCGAAGCGUACGGGCUUGCCCACGCUAUAUCAUUCAAGUUUCUGCCCCAUCAGCUGUAGAUGGUAGUGUAUUGGACUACCAUGGCUUUCACGGGUAACGGAGGAUUAGGGUUCGAUUCCGGAGAGGGAGCCUGAGAAACGGCUACCACAUCUAAGGAAGGCAGCAGGCGCGUAAAUUACCCAAUACUGAUUCAGUGAGGUAGUG
RNAcentral lists this ribosomal RNA (261 nucleotides) under uncultured Spirotrichea. Its description in RNAcentral is "partial small subunit ribosomal RNA". It matches the Rfam family "Eukaryotic small subunit ribosomal RNA", at positions 194 to 469 of the family's 1831-position model. Lineage: Eukaryota; Ciliophora; Spirotrichea. The record is from RNAcentral.